UUUCCGUAGGUGAACCUGCGGAAGGAUCAUUAUCGUAUUUCCGACGCGCAAGCGCUGUCGCAGAUACGAUAGGUUGUGCUCGGCCGAUUGCCCCCCCCCACGUAUAACUCACCCCUAUGUGCACCACCGCGUGCGUCCACCUUUGGCUUGGUCGCAGCUGGGCUUACGUUUCAACUCAAACUAUGUUUGCAGUGUAGAAUGUAUUUUUUGUUUUUGCGAUCACGCAAUCAACACAUCUUUAAAUAACGGAUCUCUUGGCUCUCGCAUCGAUGCAGAACC
This 279-nucleotide unclassified non-coding RNA is filed under the name plant metagenome. Its description in RNAcentral is "partial contains small subunit ribosomal RNA, internal transcribed spacer 1, and 5.8S ribosomal RNA". The record is from RNAcentral.